GUGGGGAAUUUUGGACAAUGGGCGCAAGCCUGAUCCAGCAAUGCCGCGUGCAGGAAGAAGGCCUUCGGGUUGUAAACUGCUUUUGUACGGAACGAAAAGGCUCUGGCUAAUACCUGGAGCUCAUGACGGUACCGUAAGAAUAAGCACCGGCUAACUACGUGCCAGCAGCCGCGGUAAUACGUAGGGUGCGAGCGUUAAUCGGAAUUACUGGGCGUAAAGCGUGCGCAGGCGGUGAUGUAAGACAGUUGUGAAAUCCCCGGGCUCAACCUGGGAACUGCAUCUGUGACUGCAUUGCUGGAGUGCGGCAGAGGGGGAUGGAAUUCCGCGUGUAGCAGUGAAAUGCGUAGAUAUGCGGAGGAACACCGAUGGCGAAGGCAAUCCCCUGGGCCUGCACUGACGCUCAUGCACGAAAGCGUGGGGAGCAAACAGGAUUAGAAACCCUUGUAGUCC
This 450-nucleotide ribosomal RNA is filed under the name uncultured bacterium. RNAcentral describes it as "partial 16S ribosomal RNA". It matches the Rfam family "Bacterial small subunit ribosomal RNA", at positions 354 to 796 of the family's 1533-position model. The record is from RNAcentral.